GACGAACGCUGGCGGCGUGCUUAACACAUGCAAGUCGAACGGAAAGGCCCUUCGGGGUACUCGAGUGGCGAACGGGUGAGUAACACGUGGGUGAUCUGCCUCGUACUCUGGGAUAAGCCUGGGAAACUGGGUCUAAUACUGGAUAGGACCUUCUCUCGCAUGGGGGUUGGUGGAAAGUUUUUCGGUACGAGAUGGGCCCGCGGCCUAUCAGCUUGUUGGUGGGGUAAUGGCCUACCAAGGCGACGACGGGUAGCCGGCCUGAGAGGGCGACCGGCCACACUGGGACUGAGACACGGCCCAGACUCCUACGGGAGGCAGCAGUGGGGAAUAUUGCACAAUGGGCGCAAGCCUGAUGCAGCGACGCCGCGUGAGGGAUGACGGCCCUCGGGUUGUAAACCUCUUUCACCAGGGGCGAAUUUAGACGGUACCUGGAGAAGAAGCACCGGCCAACUACGUGCCAGCAGCCGCCGUAA
RNAcentral lists this ribosomal RNA (473 nucleotides) under uncultured bacterium. Its description in RNAcentral is "partial 16S ribosomal RNA". It matches the Rfam family "Bacterial small subunit ribosomal RNA", at positions 28 to 523 of the family's 1533-position model. The record is from RNAcentral.